UGACCUCAAAUCAGGCGAGACUACCCGCUGAACUUAAGCAUAUCAAUAAGCGGAGGA
This 57-nucleotide ribosomal RNA is filed under the name Lactifluus tenuicystidiatus. RNAcentral describes it as "partial 28S ribosomal RNA". It matches the Rfam family "Eukaryotic large subunit ribosomal RNA", at positions 1 to 57 of the family's 3401-position model. The record is from RNAcentral. Lineage: Eukaryota; Fungi; Basidiomycota; Agaricomycetes; Russulales; Russulaceae. RNAcentral also lists the same sequence under 1 other name.